Molecule: long non-coding RNA, 482 nt
Filed under: Homo sapiens (human)
Lineage: Eukaryota; Metazoa; Chordata; Mammalia; Primates; Hominidae
Description: non-protein coding lnc-SH2D4A-2:4
Source: RNAcentral
AGACACCAGAGCACCAACUUCUCUCACUUAAACCUUAUGACAACCUUAAGAAGUAGGCAGCAUGAUCCCCUUCUUGGAAAUGCAGAAAGAGAGAAUGGGGGAGAUUGAGAGGCUUGCAGAAUGUGACAUCAUUAGGGAGAACAGUGGUUGAGGUCCAGCAGCUCCUGCAGAUGGGUGGUGGUGGAAGGAGGAGAGAAUGGGCCACAGGCAGGCCAAGGGCAAGCUUAGCAGCACUCAACAUCCUCCAUGAACUCAACAGAAGUCAAGAAUGCAGGCAGCUCAUGAUGAAGACCUGCAGCGGCCCAGGUUUACCAAGCUCAUUCACAAUUGCAGUUGGAGAAUUCGUCUUUGGUCAUUUUCUACUUUGGAAAUACGCUGGUAUGUGGCAACGACCUGACUUCAACCAGGAAGACAAGGUUGAUGACCUAAGGAAUAGCACUGUAGCAAAUGGAAGGAUCCCUGAGUGACUGUGUGGAGCAGAG